UACGGGGGGGGCAAGCGUUGUUCGGAAUUACUGGGCGUAAAGGGCUCGUAGGCGGCCAACUAAGUCAGACGUGAAAUCCCUCGGCUUAACCGGGGAACUGCGUCUGAUACUGGAUGGCUUGAGAUUGGGAGAGGGAUGCGGAAUUCCAGGUGUAGCGGUGAAAUGCGUAGAUAUCUGGAGGAACACCGGUGGCGAAGGCGACAUCCUGGACCAACACUGACGCUGAGGAGCGAAAGCCGGGGGAGCAAACAGG
This 253-nucleotide ribosomal RNA is filed under the name uncultured bacterium. Its description in RNAcentral is "partial 16S ribosomal RNA". It matches the Rfam family "Bacterial small subunit ribosomal RNA", at positions 524 to 776 of the family's 1533-position model. The record is from RNAcentral.